GUCGUCUCAACGGAAAAAGUGAUUUAACACGGGUAAAUAGUUUCCAAAGGAUUUGUUUACCAAAACAUGGAAAACAGAUUCCUAGAGCUCUCCUUGCUCUUUUUUUUCUCCACUUCAUAGCUAUCCUUUUGGUUAACAGUGUCUGCCACACCCAGCGAUCUGAUUUGGAUGGAUUCUCAUGUUCAAUGCUAUCAAGUGUGUUCAUCUUGCAGCACAUGUCCUUUGUACCUCAGUAUUGCUAAUCAGAUCACAGAGGGAGAAACA
Molecule: long non-coding RNA, 264 nt
Filed under: Calidris pugnax (ruff)
Lineage: Eukaryota; Metazoa; Chordata; Aves; Charadriiformes; Scolopacidae
Description: lncRNA (ENSCPUG00000012313.1)
Source: RNAcentral